RNAcentral lists this long non-coding RNA (789 nucleotides) under Elaeis guineensis (African oil palm). Its description in RNAcentral is "long non-coding RNA (EGUI_LNC061898)". Lineage: Eukaryota; Viridiplantae; Streptophyta; Magnoliopsida; Arecales; Arecaceae. The record is from RNAcentral.
CUACGCAUACUUUAGAUUAGAUCUAAACACCUACUAAAGGUCUAUAAUAUGAAAUUUUCAUACAAAAAUUAUUGAUACAAAGAAAAAAACUGCAUCAAUCACAUCGAUGCCCUAGAUCAGAUCUAACCAUUAGAUCUAAUUAGACGAGUUCAGAACUCAUUACCUUUGCACGGAUCAAUGAUCGCUACUACUGAUAGGCAUGGUAUGAGGUUCUUUCUGAUGCCGAGCAGUUGCAUAGCUCGUCCAGCCUCUACAAGUUGUCCACUCGAAGCCCUGUUUGAAUCAUCAUUCUUAGGAGUGCUAGCUUACAUAGAAAGCACUAGAUGGCUGAAGUAAGCUUUUUUCUUGGGAUCACCCGAACUCUUCCAGAUCAAAGGAUGGAGCUACACGAGGAGGUGGUGGUGUGAGAGAUUGAAACAAGACCCUCUUGUAUUUCUUUUCAUACAAAAAUCUAGAGCCGAAAUCCUAGAACCCACCCUAAACCUCACAUCCAAAGAGGUUGGUCUCUACCUUUAUUUCUUAUGCACAGAAGCCGGCCCCCUCUCUCUUUCACACCUCCUCUCUCUUUCACACCUCCUCUCUCUAAGAAGAGAUUUUUCAUGAUAACAUUCAAUCUUUUUGUCACACAAAAUGAGAGGAGUUUUUAAGGUGGCGUGGAGAGGUGAAGAGAUAAGGAUAAAGUCGCUAGAUAUAGAUCAAAUUCAUACCAAUUUGAAUUCGAAACUCAACUACUUAUCCUUAUCCAAGUGGGGCACCACAAGAGCUGAGACACGAGACAUUUCUCACACC